AUGAGGAAAAAUUGGGAUUUUUUAUCAGUGGAAAAUGAGGAAAAAUCUGGUUUUUUAUCCAUGGAAAAACGGGGAAAAUUCCGUCCAAAAAAAUUCCCGGAGCGCGGAUCCCGCUCAUCCCAAAUUUCCCUCCCUCGAUCCCAAAUUUCCCUCCCUCAUCCCAAAUUUCCCUCCCAAAAUUCCCAUUUUUUUAUUCCACACGGAUCAAGUGCAAAAUUUCCCUCCCAAAAUUCCCAUUUUUUUAUUCCACACGGAUCAAGUGCAAAAAUUCCCGUUUUAUUCAGCCGAGCCACAAAAAUAAACCAAAAAAUUGGGAAUUUUUUUUUUGGGGGAGGGAAUUCCCAAAUUUUGGGGAAGAUCUCUCGAAUAAUUGAUCCAAAUUUGGGGGGUCCUGGGGGGAUUUUGGGGAAAUUUUUUUGGGAAUUUUUUGGGAUUUUUUGGGGGUUUUUUUGGGGACUUUUGUGGAAUUUUUUGGGGAUUUUUUGGGAUUUUUUUGGGGAAUUUUUGGGGAUUUUUGUGGAUUUUGGGGAUUUUUUUGGGAUUUUUUUGGGGUUUUUUGGGGAUUUUUGGGGGGAUUUUUUUGGAUUUUUUUUUAUUUUUUGGGGAGUUUUUUGGGGUUUUUUGGGAAAUUUUUGGGGAAUUUUCUGGGAUUUUUUUGGGGUUUUUGUGGGAUUUUUUAGGGAUUUUUUGGGGAUUUUUUGGGAAUUUUUUAGGGAUUUAUUUGGGGAUUUUUUAGGAUUUUUUGGGGAUUUUUUUUGAAUUUUCUGGGAUUUUUUGGGGGAUUUUUUGGGGUUUUUUUGGAUUUUUUUGGGAGUUUUUGGUUUUUUUUUUUAAUUUUUUUUUAAUUUUCUGGAUUUUUUGGGGGUUUUUUUGGGAGUUUUUGGGGGUUUUUUGGGAUUUUUUUUGGAAUUUUCUGGGAUUUUUUUGGGGAUUUUUUGGGGUUUUUUUGGAUUUUUUUGGGAGUUUUUGGGGUUUUUUUUUUUAAUAUUUUUUUGAAUUUUUUUGGAUUUUUUUGGGGUUUUUUGGGGGGAUUUUGGGGUAUUUUUGGGGUUUCUGGGGUUGUUUCUGGGGUUUUUGGGGUUCCCAGACCCCAUUUUUGGGGUCCCCCCCUAGAUGAGGUCCAUCAGGAUGUUCUCCUCCACCACCCUGAGGGUCUGGAGACCCCAAAUUUGGGGGGGUUCCUGUGUUUUUUUGGGGUGUUUUGGGGUUCCUGGGGGAUUUUUUGGGUAUUUUUGGGUGUUUUUGGGGUUGUUUUUGGGGUUCCUGGGGUUGUUUUUGGGGUUCCCCCCUAGAUGAGGUCCAUCAGGAUGUCCUCCUCCACCAUCCCAAGGGGUCUGGAGACCCCAAAUUUGGGGGUUCCUGGGAGAUUUUUGGGGUAACUUUGGGGUGUUUUGCGGAUUUUUCUGGGUAUUUUUGGGGUUUCUGGGGGUAUUUUGGGGUUGUUUUUGGGGUUUUUGGGGUUCCCAGACCCCAUUUUUGGGGUCCCCCCUAGAUGAGGUCCAUCAGGAUGUCCUCCUCCAUCACCCCAGGGGUCUGGAGACCCCAAAUUUGGGGGUUCCUGGGGGAUUUUUGGGGUAAUUUUGGGGUUCCUGGAGGAUUUUUGGGGUAAUUUUGGGUUGUUUUGGGGUAUUUUGGGGUGUUUUUGGAGUUGUUUUUGGGGUUUUUGGGGUUCCCAGACCCCAUUUUUGGG
Molecule: long non-coding RNA, 1690 nt
Organism: Cyanistes caeruleus (blue tit)
Lineage: Eukaryota; Metazoa; Chordata; Aves; Passeriformes; Paridae
Source: Ensembl